GGUUCCGGUAGUCACAACAAUAGAUGGGUGAUGGUUAAAUGGUAGGUCCAGGAAGUCACAACAAUAGAUGGGUGAUGGUUAAAUGGUAGGUCCAGGAAGUCACAACAAUAGAUGGGUGUUGGUUAAAUGGUAGGUCCCGGUAGUCACAACAAUAGAUGGGUGAUGGUUAAAUGGUAGGUUCCGGUAGUCACAACAAUAGAUGGGUGAUGGUUAAAUGGUAGGUCCAGGAAGUCACAACAAUAGAUGGAUGUUGGUUAAAUGGUAGGUCCCGGGAGUCACAACAAUAGAUGGGUGAUGGUUAAAUGGUAGGUCCCGGUAGUCACAACAAUAGAUGGGUGUUGGUUAAAUGGUAGGUCCAGGAAGUCACAACAAUAGAUGGAUGUUGGUUAAAUGGUAGGUCCCGGUAGUCACAACAAUAGAUGGGUGAUGGUUAAAUGGUGAUUUUAAGAAUGGAGGGUAGCAAGGCGGCUAGUUGUUUUCUUCUUCCUGUGAGCGAGGUUUUUAGCAGAGCGGUUGGAAAGGACGUGGAGCGCCGGAGCGUUGCACCGCAAUGAGCGGGAUUUCAGACCCCUCAACACCGCUCUGUAAGCAAUGAGCGGGAUUUCAGACCACUCAACACCGCUCUGUAAGCAAUGAGCGGGAUUUCAGACCACUCAACACCGCUCUGUAAGCAAUGAGCGGGAUUUCAGACCACUCAACACCGCUCUGUAAGCAAUGAGCGGGAUUUCAGACCACUCAACACCGCUCUGUAAGCAAUGAGCGGGAUUUCAGACCACUCAACACCGCUCUGUUAGCAAUGAGCGGGAUUUCAGACCACUCAACACCGCUCUGUAAGCAAUGAGCGGGAUUUCAGACCACUCAACACCGCUCUGUAAGCAAUGAGCGGGAUUUCAGACCACUCAACACCGCUCUGUAAGCAAUGAGCGGGAUUUCAGACC
This is a long non-coding RNA of Oncorhynchus keta (chum salmon), 938 nucleotides long. RefSeq lists it as uncharacterized. The transcript has 3 exons. Lineage: Eukaryota; Metazoa; Chordata; Actinopteri; Salmoniformes; Salmonidae. The record is from RefSeq and is a predicted model, not a curated record.